RNAcentral lists this ribosomal RNA (657 nucleotides) under uncultured marine bacterium. RNAcentral describes it as "bacterial SSU rRNA". It matches the Rfam family "Bacterial small subunit ribosomal RNA", at positions 59 to 759 of the family's 1533-position model. The record is from RNAcentral.
AAGUCGAGCGCGCCCUUCGGGGUGAGCGGCGGACGGGUGAGUAACGCGUGGGAAUAUGCCCUUCUCUAAGGAAUAGCCUCUGGAAACGGAGAGUAAUACCUUAUACGCCCUUUUGGGGAAAGAUUUAUCGGAGAAGGAUUAGCCCGCGUUAGAUUAGGUAGUUGGUGGGGUAAUGGCCUACCAAGCCUACGAUCUAUAGCUGGUUUGAGAGGAUGAUCAGCCACACUGGGACUGAGACACGGCCCAGACUCCUACGGGAGGCAGCAGUAGGGAAUCUUAGACAAUGGGGGCAACCCUGAUCUAGCCAUGCCGCGUGUGUGAUGAAGGCCCUAGGGUCGUAAAGCACUUUCGCCAGAGAUGAUAAUGACAGUAUCUGGUAAAGAAACCCCGGCUAACUCCGUGCCAGCAGCCGCGGUAAUACGGAGGGGGUUAGCGUUGUUCGGAAUUACUGGGCGUAAAGCGCACGUAGGCGGAUUAGUAAGUUAGAGGUGAAAUCCCAGGGCUCAACCCUGGAACUGCCUUUAAUACUGCUAGUCUUGAGUUCGAGAGAGGUAAGUGGAAUUCCGAGUGGUAGAGGUGAAAUUCGUAAGAUAUUCGGAGGAACACCAGUGGCGAAGGCGGCUUACUGGCCUCGAUACUGACGCUGGGGUGCGAAAG